RNAcentral lists this long non-coding RNA (899 nucleotides) under Salmo salar (Atlantic salmon). RNAcentral's name for it is "lncRNA (ENSSSAG00000114070.1)". The record is from RNAcentral. Lineage: Eukaryota; Metazoa; Chordata; Actinopteri; Salmoniformes; Salmonidae.
AGCAACAGGACUUUGUGAAGUUCUAUGACACUGUCAUUACAUACAUUGACAAGUGGUUUGAUUUCUCACAAGAAAAUGUACUGGUGAAACUGAAACCGAUCAGCCUCUAUGAGGAGCUCUCCUUCACUGACCUGGAGCAGGUGGUGGUUGCCCUCAAAAUGACAGAGACAGUCAGUAUGGACCAACUCUAUGAAGAGUUUUGUGCUAGCUGGGAGGAAAUACAGAAAGCCAGACAGGAUACCACAAAAUCUACCAGUGAGAAGUGGGUGGCAGUUUUCCAAAACCUAGGGAAAGCCAGCUUGAUCAACAUGUUCAGGAUUGUCUCAUUUGUCCCCAGUGUGCCAGGCUCAAAUGUCUUUGUGUAGAGGAUUUUUCUCUAUGAUGACCAUUAAAUGGUCAGACUCAAGAAACAGAUGCAGCACAGAGGCUCUGUGACAGAGCUGAUCAAAAAUGAACUUCAAAUAUCUGUGAACUGUAACUUGUUGUGUAAGGACUUCUCUCUGGCUAUGCAAAAAGACAAAGGACUGCUUGAAUCAGUCAAGAGCAGCAAAAAAUAUCCAUGGAAAAAGUAGACUUGGUUCCUGAAUGCACCUGUCUGGUUGCCAGGCAACGAGGUUAGGCGGGAGAUCUAUUUAUUACCCGCACCGGCAUCUCAUCAACCUUCUGCACACCUGGUCCUGAUCUUCACCUCUUCUUAAACCCUGAGCUGACAUCCAUUCCCUGCCGGAUCGUUAGCAACGAAGAUCAUCCUCCUGGAACAUUCAACUCCCUUGCCUGGUCGUCGGUGGAUACAGUGACUUCAUUGGAUCAACCCAUUUACUCUCAUCAACUCACCUCCGCUGCCGCUCCGUCUCCUGGAUCAUUCAAAUUACACAUCAAGACUACCAAUAAAUACUCAC